This is a long non-coding RNA of Ailuropoda melanoleuca (giant panda), 3039 nucleotides long. RefSeq lists it as uncharacterized. The transcript is spliced from 3 exons. The record is from RefSeq and is a predicted model, not a curated record. NCBI's taxonomy places the organism in Eukaryota, Metazoa, Chordata, Mammalia, Carnivora, Ursidae.
GCUGGAGUCUUCAGGGACAUCUUUUCAUGUUUGGCCGUUUCUGGUUGGCUCUCAUCCAGCUGCUGCCUGCCUGCUGGACUCCAUGCCAACACUGAGCAGUAUUAUACCUGAUCGAAGAUCACAGGAAUACCCAACCCUUGGGUGAGAGGGAGGGUGGCAGCAUAGAGCCCAUUAUAUGUAUAUGUGGUAUUGUUAGAGUCGGCCUUCAAGCCACUUCGAGCCACAUCCUGGGGGGAGCUAUUCUAAGGGAACUGCAAGGUGGGGUUGGUCACAACUCUCCAUUCCUCCCCCACCACACUAACCCCUGCCCACCUGAGUCUUCACAAUAAGCCUCCGGAGCUCUUCACCAAACCUAAGGGCACCUGCAGCCUUUCCACUCCCUUCCCUGGCAUCCCCUCCCCUCACUCAGAUGUUGCCAAAUGGAUGGUGAGCUUGGAUGGGUCCUGGUGGCCAAAUUCCAAACAAAGGGGGAAGCAUCUGGCCCCCUGCCAGUGUUCCGUCCAUGGUAAUUUGGCAGGAAAGCGCCAGCUGCGUCUAUCUGCACAUCUGUUUAUGCCUCUGGCUUGUUAUUUAUUCUCUGCCUUUCAUGGGCAACAGAGCCAGAGCGCACCUCAACUCUCCCCAAGUUAGAUUAACCAGGAAAGAAGGCUGGGACACUCAGUCACUACAAUUGCUGAUAUUCAUUGAAGGAUAUGCCUUCUGCAGCAGCUGCUGCCACUUUUCAUAGAGACACAGAGGAGAGGAGCAAAGGGGAAGGGAGGAGGAGGGAAAGGGGGGAGGAGAGGAGAGAUGAGGGAGGGCUGUGGAGUUAGAGUUGUAGUUAUGUUGGGAGUACUUCAGUCCGGUGGGCCGAUCUCUGAUCCCACUGGAGAUGGGGAGAGGUGGCCAGCCAGUCUUUGAAACACAAUCACUCUGACUUUCCUUCCUGCUAGACACCGUGUUUCAGCGUGUGUGUGUGUGUGUGUGUGUGUGUGUGUGUGUGUGUGUUCUUGUAUGGUGUGGUGAGCAUCAAUCUGGGGAUAAGGCUUUUAACAGAGGCUACAUAGGAUAGGCUUCUUGAGGUGCUUAAAUAACUUUCUUGAGAGAUUCCUGGGAUGAAGUACUUCGUGAAGAACCAGAGCCAGGCUUUGUCCCUGGGACUAAGAAGGAGAAGGAAUGAGGAAAGGAGGAGGAGGGAGAGAGGGAGGGAAAGAAGAAGGGGAGGAGGAGGAAAAGGAAGGAGUGUUAAAGAAUGGAGAAACACGUUCAGCAGGGAGAAAAGAGGGAUGGGUGGAGGAGCCUGGAAGUUUGGAGAUCCUUGGUGCAGGUGCUAUCCUUGGUCCUGACAGACAAUGGGCCCGGGAAUAACCCAGAGUCCCUGACCCGGAUGGGCCUCCAAACUCCCUACAAUUUUCUUUCAAGGAGACUGGAUGAUUUGGGAGUAGAAGCAAAGAUCUGGAGCCUCAUCUGGUGAGAAAUGAAACACAGGUCUGACUUGUCCUACUAUUACCCCAUCUCCCUCUCCUGCCUUUUUCAAAACAACUCCCUGUCCAGUCAAUGCUCCUUACAGCGGACAGGUAGGUGUGGACCUGGAGAACACUGGGCAGGGCUCCUGGGUAAGACUGCAGACAUCUGACCUCUGGGACCCUUGGCCUGAGUGGGGGAAGUGGGGGUGCCCUGCGGGGGGAGUGCUGGCCUGGUCAGAUUUAAAGCAACUAGACCCUGCCAAAUUCUGGACAGACAUUUUGCUUCUAUUUUCCCUCUGCUCCUUUGCAAAACCCAAAUACCAAGAUCAUUUUUUCCCUCCUUCAAAAAAUUAUAUGUAACGAGCUGUUCAUAGGCAGUACUUGCACAGAUGGGGGUUUAAUCAGCUAGAGGCUAAGCACACGGGCAUUCCAGCCUAAUCCAAUUCCCAUCAGUUCAUCACCCAGAGAUUACGGCAGGGCCAAAACUCUGAAUGGAUUCUAAAGAGCUGUCAGUGGAGCAGUAACUGCAUCAGCCAAGACAGGAGGCCAGACUGUGUGGAGAGUGCCCGGCAGUCCCUGGCCAUGCUCUGAGACCCCUGGUCCUAUGAGUCUACUUCAUAGUUUUUGUUUUUGUUUUUGUUUUAGUGAAUCACUGUGUACAGGCCUUGGUGCCAGGCACUGAGGGGGAAGAUAGAGGGGAAAUAUCAACUGCCUUUGGGAAUCUCUGUUUAGAGGGGAGAUACGUGGUCCCCUGCUUGGAAGGAACUCCCGGUUUAAUGGGGGAGAAAUGGCCCCUGCCUUCUAGACUGCUCUUUGAAGAGUACUAACUUAUAAGUGACACACAUAUCUGUCCUAAAAUCUCUAGGAAGAGGCAGAAACAGUCUCGUCACGAAGGCGUGGGGAGGAGUGUGACUCCUACCAGUUCCUGCAGCAAAUCAGAAACAGAAGUUGGGCAUAGAAGGCAGGCUGUGGACUCCAGACCAGGGGACAUCAUUACUUUCCUUCUCCCAUGAGGGGAAACUGGGCCAGGUGAAGCCAGGGAGACAGCCCAGGACAGAAGGAGGGGAGGGAGAGACAGGAGCAUGUGGCCCACCCUCCUCUAGGGGUGAGGGAGAGCUUCCUGGAGGAAGUACACUGAAGCAGAGACCUGAAGGACUCAUGGGACAGCUUCUCAGCCUCGUGCCCUUCAGGGAGUCUCCGCAAGUCCUCUUCCGCCAGCCACACCCUGCCCAGCGUCCAGCUUCCCCAGGGACUCCCCAGCUCUGAGAUUACACCGAGACACUUUCCCCCUGGGAUUCAGUUGAAAGACUUUGGACCUGGAGGAGAAGGAUCUAGAGGGGGUGGGAUCUGGGUAUUCCUCAGAUGGAGCAACCCAUUCCAAGAAGGCACAUGGUGCUGCUGCUCCCAGGCCCACGUCCGCAGGAGGGAAUCAGAGACCUGGGACGGAGGGCUGGAAGCUGACAGAGGGGAUGAGAUCCAGGUAAGAAAUGAAUAAGCAGGGGCACCUGGGUGGCACAGCGGUUAAGCGUCUGCCUUUGGCUCAGGGCGUGAUCCCGGCAUUAUGGGAUCGAGCCCCACAUCAGGCUCCUCUGCU